GCCUACAGCCAAACCAUCUUGAAGUAUGAGCUUGUCAAAUCUCUUAAGCUAAACGGGGUUGGCCCUGGUUAGCGUUAUGGAUGGGAGACCUCCAAGGAAAGCCCAGUUUCUGUGGGAG
Molecule: ribosomal RNA, 118 nt
Organism: Chelonoidis abingdonii (Abingdon island giant tortoise)
Lineage: Eukaryota; Metazoa; Chordata; Testudines; Testudinidae
Source: Ensembl